AAAAAUUUUUUCCCGGAAAAACUGAGUUCGUGUUCAAUUCAGAGAUCCGUCGAGGAUCAAAGUUUUAUGUUAGCUGCUGAUUCGGGAUGCUGUUCGAGAUUUUGUCAUUGGUUCGAGGUUUUCAUCAGUAUCUCAUCUCGCAUGUUUGGAAAUCUUCUUUCAUUGUACACGGUGAAAAUUUGCAGCAGUAGAGGUCCGUUUCUAACUUUCUUCUUCAAUGUUUCUUGUAAUAUUCCUGUGAAUGAAUUGAUAAAGAUGGUUAUCUUCUGUACCUUGAAAUCUUAUCUUGGUGUGCAAUUUGGUUAAAUUAGAUCUGUGGUUAAUGAGCGUACAUGCUAAAUUGUGUUUGAGGAAAGUCGUUUGAAUUAAUACAGUGAGUCAGCAAGAACGUGAAUUAACCGACGUUUUAAUUUCUUUAAUCACUUUGGUUGAUCUACUAUAAUUGAAUGUUUUACCUUAGUUUAAUGGGAUGCAUUGGUUUAGCAGAACUUUUAAUAACAUUUGGCCACGAGCUUUGUCAUUAAGCGAGUGAGAAUUUGAGUUUAUUGGGCCACAAGCUUGGCGUUAAAUGAAAGAAAAUUGGAGUGUAUCACUGUAUUCUGUUAAUUAGUCAUAAUAGCAUGUUAGGCCAUGAACCUUUAGGCACGUAAUUCAUCACAAUUACGGGUAUGGUUCCCGUGGCGUAGUCGUGAUACCUAAUUUCAAAUUUAUUUUAAAUAUAAAUAUCCGUAGUUUGCAUUAGUUGAGUACAAAUCUUCUCUUUAAAUAAGUUGAGGUGCGCCAUACGCAAACAAAAUCCAUAAUCUAUGGCCCUCAUAUUAAUUAUCUUAACUAAUGUAGAAAAUGCAUUGAACUCUCUUAGUUUGCUUCAGGCGCGUUUAUGUAAAUAAAUUGUCAUAGCUACGGGUACGGUUCCCGUGUCGUAGUUGUGAUGCCUAAUUUCUAAAUCCGGGGUACAUUUAUGUGAUUCGGCCACAAUUUAUUCUUGUUAAUAAAAUAAAGACAUUGUAGAUUGUGGGUACGAUUCCCAUGACACGAUUCACAAUGUGUAAUUAAAAUAAUUAGUUGUAUAAUAAUUAGAGUAGUAAAAAUGGUUUAGAAGGAAUAAAAUGCACAUAGGUUCCAAAAAUAUUUUAAAAUCAGAUAAAUAGACCAAUAAUAAUAGUUGAGCGACCGUGCUAAAACCACGGAACUCGGGAAUGCCUAGCACCUUCUCUCGGAUUAACAAAAUUUCUUUCCCAGAUUUUUGUGUUCGCGGACUGUAAAACAGAGUCAAUCUUUCCUCGAUUUGGGAUUUGAACCGGUGACUUGGGACACCAUAAAUUAUCCCAAGUGAUGACUCUGAACAAUAAAUAAAUAAUCACGUUUCGAUUGUCAUUUAAAUUGGAAAAAAACUCCCUUAUACCCUUUCCGGGGUAGAAAAAGGAGUUGUGACAGCUCUGGCGACUCUGCUGGGGACCGAACCCAGAAUCUCUAGUUCAGGGUUCAAGAAUUCGUACAUAGAAUAAUUGUUAUAUUUGGCUUUAUUUAUUAUCUGGUUUUAAUUAAAUGUUUGGGCCUAAUGGGCUAAAUGUUGCUUUUUACCGCUUUGAUAUUAUCUGAACUGUAUAUAAACUGCUACGAAACCCUUCUCUUGUCAUCUUCGGGGAAGUGCACGCUGGAGUGAUUCCUUUUCUAUUAGUGUCUUACCUUAAAUUAGAAAGAGACUCGGACAAGUUACAAAACUGGAUGGCCUUUUGGUUCCUGGUUCGUAGCCCACCCUCGGCUCGAGUUGUCUGCUCGGGUGCACAUGUCUAGAAUAAUAUAUCGAAGUUUUGAACCUAGAAUAACUCAGCCUCAUGCCGGAUCCCUAAUAGGAACGCUUGAUUGCAUCUGGUGCAUUUGACUUUGGGGACUCAACACAGGUGUUGGGUCCGUCUAGGACAGGUGUAUCCAAAGAAUAAAAGACCAUCAUGAAGCAUCCUAUGUGCUACAUGUAUUUUCAAGGUUAAACGAGGUCAUUUAGCGGACCAAUGAGGUUUGAGGUUAAAUGAGAAAAAAAGAGGGUGAAGUGUAAAAAAUAUAGCAAGUAUGACUCAGUUAUGUUUUCUUUCACAUUUUUUAAGAAAAGACAAAAAAAAUGAAAAUAGAAAAAUCCAAAAAGAAUUUGCACUUUCCCAUUAAUUUUUUUAAAAAUAAAAUCAGAAAAAAGAGGAAAAAUAAAAUCCAAAAAGAGAUUACAUGUUUCAUUAUUUUUCAAAACAAAAGACAAAAAAUAUGUUUUCUCAAAAUUAGUUUUUUUUAAUUCUCGCUCAUAUCUAAUCUGCCCGAACUACGCAUACCUGAUUCUCGUUUUUCGGGGCGUGAUACGUAGGCAACCCACAUAGGAUCCGGUCUUCCUAGUGAGUUUAGGUUCUUGGCUUCGCUGGGUCUUAGCCUAAUCUUGCAUUUUUAGUCAUAUUUAGCCACAUAGGUUAAUCUUAGAAAAAUAGUCACAACCAUGUCUUGCAUGUGUCUAAUAGGGAAUGUUAUUGUCUCAUAUAGUGUUGGUUUCAGUUUUCUCAUACAGGUGUGGAUCUACUUACCGGAGUUUGAUCAUGACAGAUAUCCAGGACCACUGCAUUCAGGAGCUACUUGAGGAG
RNAcentral lists this long non-coding RNA (2621 nucleotides) under Nicotiana tabacum (common tobacco). RNAcentral's name for it is "long non-coding RNA (NTAB_LNC015747)". The record is from RNAcentral. Lineage: Eukaryota; Viridiplantae; Streptophyta; Magnoliopsida; Solanales; Solanaceae.